AGGAUGAACGCUGGCGGCGUGCCUAACACAUGCAAGUCGAACGUCCUGUCUCGCAAGAGGCAGGGAGUGGCGGACGGGUGAGUACCACGUGGGUUAUCUACCGUGAGGUGAGGAAUACCGGCGAGAAAUCGCCGACAAGACCGCAUAGCCUCGGUGCAAGCCGAGGAAAGCUUUCUCGAGAGAGGGAGCGCCACACGAGGAGCCUGCGCCCGAUUAGCUAGCUGGUGGAGUAACGGUUCACCAGGGCGACGAUCGGUAGCUGGUCUGAGAGGACGAUCAGCCACACUGGGAUUGAGAACGGCCCAGACUCCUACGGGGGCAGCAGUGAGGAAUUUUCGUCAAUGGGGGCAACCCUGAACGAGCAACGCCGCGUGCAGGAAGAAGGUUUUCGGAUCGUAAACUGCUUUUCUCGGGGAAGAGGAACGGACGGUACCCGAGGAAUCGACGCCCCGGCUAACUACGUGCCAGCAGCCGCGGUAA
RNAcentral lists this ribosomal RNA (480 nucleotides) under uncultured bacterium. RNAcentral describes it as "SSU rRNA". It matches the Rfam family "Bacterial small subunit ribosomal RNA", at positions 26 to 523 of the family's 1533-position model. The record is from RNAcentral.